GUUUAACGGCCGCGGUAUUUUGACCGUGCAAAGGUAGCGCAAUCACUUGUCUUUUAAAUAAAGACCUGUAUGAAUGGCAUAACGAGGGCUAAACUGUCUCCUUACUCCAGUUAAUGAAAUUGAUCUCCCCGUGCAGAAGCGGGGAUUAACCCAUAAGACGAGAAGACCCUGUGGAGCUUUAGAUGAUAGAUGAAUUUAUUAAAAAAUUAAUACCAAAUAAAAGGUAAUUAAAACGAUGACCUCAUCUUAAAUCUUUAGUUGGGGCGACCGCGGAGUAAAACAAAACCUCCGUGAGGAUUGAGAUGAAAACCUUAUACCCAAGAAUGUCAUUUCUAAGUACCAAAAUAUUUGACCAAUUGAUCCGGCAACAGCCGAUUAACGAACCUAGUUACCCCAGGGAUAACAGCGCAAUCCUCUUUGAGAGUCCCUAUCGACAAGAGGGUUUACGACCUCGAUGUUGGAUCAGGACAUCCUAAUGGUGUAG
This 484-nucleotide ribosomal RNA is filed under the name Hippocampus guttulatus (long-snouted seahorse). RNAcentral's name for it is "partial 16S ribosomal RNA". It matches the Rfam family "Bacterial large subunit ribosomal RNA", at positions 1922 to 2558 of the family's 2925-position model. Lineage: Eukaryota; Metazoa; Chordata; Actinopteri; Syngnathiformes; Syngnathidae. The record is from RNAcentral.